CAAUUGAUUGGUUUUUCGCACCUGCGAAUGCACCCAUCCCUGUUUGCACGUCCAUGCUGCCCCAAUCGUCACAGUACAGGCCUCAAGGGUUCGCACUGUAUGGUUGGCAAUGCGUGGAGCGUGAAAAGCAAGGAGUGCGCUCGCACAUGCGAAUGCACCCAUCCUUGUUUGCACGUCCAUGCUGCCCCAAUCGUCACAGUACAGGCCUCAAGGGUUCGCACUGUAUGGCUGGCAAUGCGUGGAGCGUGAAAGCAGGAGUUGCGCACUGCGCAGAAAUCUCUUGGCUGAUUGUGGGUUCCUGGUAGUCAUGGAUCACUGAAGCGCGAAUUCUUUGCAAAGCACAUGCGUUGCACUGUGCAUGUGAUUCCAAUCAUUGGGCCUGCUCUUGCUUUGCAUGGCGCUCGUUGAUGGAAGUUCACGCGCGAGGUUCUCGUGGAAAGGAGUCGGAUUCAUUGGUUCGGCUGCUAAUUCUUUCUUUGCUCGUUGAGCUUUGUUGCUGCCUCGACGGGGCUUCGGUGACAAGGCGUUCGUCGUCUUUCUCACUGUGGCCCCCGAUCGGUGGUGAUGUAAC
This 571-nucleotide unclassified non-coding RNA is filed under the name Gymnodinium catenatum. RNAcentral's name for it is "partial 5' external transcribed spacer". Lineage: Eukaryota; Dinophyceae; Gymnodiniales; Gymnodiniaceae. The record is from RNAcentral.